RNAcentral lists this ribosomal RNA (467 nucleotides) under uncultured ciliate. Its description in RNAcentral is "SSU rRNA". It matches the Rfam family "Eukaryotic small subunit ribosomal RNA". The record is from RNAcentral. Lineage: Eukaryota; Ciliophora.
AUUUGUCUGGUUAAUUCCGAUAACGAACGAGACCUUAGCCUGCUAACUAGAUUCUUCUAUACUAUAGAUGAUAUCUUCUUAGAGGGACUAUGUAAUACAAAUACAUGGAAGUUUGAGGCAAUAACAGGUCAGUGAUGCCCUUAUAUGUCCUGGGCUGCACGCGUGCUACACUGAUGCAUACAACAAGUGCCUAACCAGACAUGGUAUGGCAAUCUCGAAUAUGCAUCGUGAUGGGGAUAGAUCUUUGCAAUUAUAGAUCUUGAACGAGGAAUUCCUAGUAAGUGCAAGUCAUCAUCUUGCAUUGAUUAUGUCCCUGCCCUUUGUACACACCGCCCGUCGCUCCUACCGGUACCGGGUGAUCCGGUGAACCUUUUGGACUCUUUACUGGGAAAGAUAAGUAAACCAUAUCACCUAGAGGAAGGAGAAGUCGUAACAAGGUUUCCGUAGGUGAACCUGCRGAAGGAUCA